UCUUAACUGGGCGUUAAGUUGCAGGGUAUAGACCCGAAACCCGGUGAUCUAGCCAUGGGCAGGUUGAAGGUUGGGUAACACUAACUGGAGGACCGAACCGACUAAUGUUGAAAAAUUAGCGGAUGACUUGUGGCUGGGGGUGAAAGGCCAAUCAAACCGGGAGAUAGCUGGUUCUCCCCGAAAGCUAUUUAGGUAGCGCCUCGUGAAUUCAUCUCCGGGGGUAGAGCACUGUUUCGGCAAGGGGGUCAUCCCGACUUACCAACCCGAUGCAAACUGCGAAUACCGGAGAAUGUUAUCACGGGAGACACACGGCGGGUGCUAACGUCCGUCGUGAAGAGGGAAACAACCCAGACCGCCAGCUAAGGUCCCAAAGUCAUGGUUAAGUGGGAAACGAUGUGGGAAGGCCCAGACAGCCAGGAUGUUGGCUUAGAAGCAGCCAUCAUUUAAAGAAAGCGUAAUAGCUCACUGGUCGAGUCGGCCUGCGCGGAAGAUGUAACGGGGCUAAACCAUGCACCGAAGCUGCGGCAGCGACGCUGAUGCGUUGUUGGGUAGGGGAGCGUUCUGUAAGCCUGCGAAGGUGUGCUGUGAGGCAUGCUGGAGGUAUCAGAAGUGCGAAUGCUGACAUAAGUAACGAUAAAGCGGGUGAAAAGCCCGCUCGCCGGAAGACCAAGGGUUCCUGUCCAACGUUAAUCGGGGCAGGGUGAGUCGACCCCUAAGGCGAGGCCGAAAGGCGUAGUCGAUGGGAAACAGGUUAAUAUUCCUGUACUUGGUGUUACUGCGAAGGGGGGACGGAGAAGGCUAUGUUGGCCGGGCGACGGUUGUCCCGGUUUAAGCGUGUAGGCUGGUUUUCCAGGCAAAUCCGGAAAAUCAAGGCUGAGGCGUGAUGACGAGGCACUACGGUGCUGAAGCAACAAAUGCCCUGCUUCCAGGAAAAGCCUCUAAGCAUCAGGUAACAUCAAAUCGUACCCCAAACCGACACAGGUGGUCAGGUAGAGAAUACCAAGGCGCUUGAGAGAACUCGGGUGAAGGAACUAGGCAAAAUGGUGCCGUAACUUCGGGAGAAGGCACGCUGAUAUGUAGGUGAAGCGACUUGCUCGUGGAGCUGAAAUCAGUCGAAGAUACCAGCUGGCUGCAACUGUUUAUUAAAAACACAGCACUGUGCAAACACGAAAGUGGACGUAUACGGUGUGACGCCUGCCCGGUGCCGGAAGGUUAAUUGAUGGGGUCAGCGCAAGCGAAGCUCUUGAUCGAAGCCCCGGUAAACGGCGGCCGUAACUAUAACGGUCCUAAGGUAGCGAAAUUCCUUGUCGGGUAAGUUCCGACCUGCACGAAUGGCGUAAUGAUGGCCAGGCUGUCUCCACCCGAGACUCAGUGAAAUUGAACUCGCUGUGAAGAUGCAGUGUACCCGCGGCAAGACGGAAAGACCCCGUGAACCUUUACUAUAGCUUGACACUGAACAUUGAGCCUUGAUGUGUAGGAUAGGUGGGAGGCUUUGAAGUGUGGACGCCAGUCUGCAUGGAGCCGACCUUGAAAUACCACCCUUUAAUGUUUGAUGUUCUAACGUGGACCCGUGAUCCGGGUUGCGGACAGUGUCUGGUGGGUAGUUUGACUGGGGCGGUCUCCUCCUAAAGAGUAACGGAGGAGCACGAAGGUUGGCUAAUCCUGGUCGGACAUCAGGAGGUUAGUGCAAUGGCAUAAGCCAGCUUGACUGCGAGCGUGACGGCGCGAGCAGGUGCGAAAGCAGGUCAUAGUGAUCCGGUGGUUCUGAAUGGAAGGGCCAUCGCUCAACGGAUAAAAGGUACUCCGGGGAUAACAGGCUGAUACCGCCCAAGAGUUCAUAUCGACGGCGGUGUUUGGCACCUCGAUGUCGGCUCAUCACAUCCUGGGGCUGAAGUAGGUCCCAAGGGUAUGGCUGUUCGCCAUUUAAAGUGGUACGCGAGCUGGGUUUAGAACGUCGUGAGACAGUUCGGUCCCUAUCUGCCGUGGGCGCUGGAGAACUGAGGGGGGCUGCUCCUAGUACGAGAGGACCGGAGUGGACGCAUCACUGGUGUUCGGGUUGUCAUGCCAAUGGCACUGCCCGGUAGCUAAAUGCGGAAGAGAUAAGUGCUGAAAGCAUCUAAGCACGAAACUUGCCCCGAGAUGAGUUCUCCCUGACUCCUUGAGAGUCCUGAAGGAACGUUGAAGACGACGACGUUGAUAGGCCGGGUGUGUAAG
Molecule: ribosomal RNA, 2214 nt
Filed under: Escherichia coli
Lineage: Bacteria; Pseudomonadati; Pseudomonadota; Gammaproteobacteria; Enterobacterales; Enterobacteriaceae
Description: partial 23S ribosomal RNA
Rfam family: Bacterial large subunit ribosomal RNA
Source: RNAcentral